This 424-nucleotide ribosomal RNA is filed under the name uncultured cyanobacterium. RNAcentral's name for it is "bacterial SSU rRNA". It matches the Rfam family "Bacterial small subunit ribosomal RNA", at positions 356 to 795 of the family's 1533-position model. The record is from RNAcentral. Lineage: Bacteria; Bacillati; Cyanobacteriota.
GGGGAAUUUUCCGCAAUGGGCGAAAGCCUGACGGAGCAACGCCGCGUGAGGGAUGAAGGCCUCUGGGCUGUAAACCUCUUUUCUCAAGGAAGAAGAUCUGACGGUACUUGAGGAAUAAGCCACGGCUAAUUCCGUGCCAGCAGCCGCGGUAAUACGGGAGUGGCAAGCGUUAUCCGGAAUUAUUGGGCGUAAAGCGUCCGCAGGCGGUCUUGUAAGUCUGUCGUUAAAGCGUGGAGCUUAACUCCAUUUCAGCGAUGGAAACUGCAAGACUAGAGUGUGGUAGGGGCAGAGGGAAUUCCCGGUGUAGCGGUGAAAUGCGUAGAUAUCGGGAAGAACACCAGUGGCGAAGGCGCUCUGCUGGGCCAUAACUGACGCUCAUGGACGAAAGCCAGGGGAGCGAAAGGGAUUAGAUACACCUGUAGUC